This is a long non-coding RNA of Hemibagrus wyckioides, 2395 nucleotides long. RefSeq lists it as uncharacterized. The transcript is spliced from 3 exons. The record is from RefSeq and is a predicted model, not a curated record. Lineage: Eukaryota; Metazoa; Chordata; Actinopteri; Siluriformes; Bagridae.
CUGUAUGUUAGAGUUGUAAUUGGUGUAGCUGUGCCCUGACUGGGAUUUAUUAGUUAUCAGACACACAAACACUUCUCCUCACUCUGUGACCUCCUAAAAAGUGUCCCAGGAAGUUUUAAAGGUGAUUCAUGAUGUAAUUCUUUUACAAAUAAAAAAGAAAAGAAAAAGAGGAAUGAAAGAGCAGGAAGAGGAGGAAGAGGAGGCCGUUAGCUGAAAGCGUGGUUCAGGAAAGGGACAGCGGAGUUCAGACAGCGAGGGGCUUUCAUGCCUGUUUUCUGGACUGGAGCCGGAAUGUGCCGGAGGAAGGGACAGCUCUGAGGGAGAGCUGGAUCCAGAGUGCAUCGUCAGGUCUCUAUUCACAAGAACCGACAUCCAUCCAUCCAUCCAUCUAUCCAUCCAUCCAUCCAUCUAUCCAUCCAUCUAUCCAUCCAUCUAUCCCCAUCCCUAAGGAGAUCACACACCGGUUCAGUAGCUGAACGCAGUCCUGAACGCUGUGGUGGUGUGAGGACGACGAGUCGGUGAAUAAAUGGAGGCAUUAAGGGAGAAAGCGGGUCUGUGAAGCCCAGGCUGCUGCGCUGUGUGGGGGAUCGGGCAGCUCGAGCCUCCUGACACCACACGGAUGGACGCACUGGCUGCUGAGUGAGGAAACGUCACACACAGCUCCGGUGCUAAUGAGAGAAAGUCAGCCAAGCGUUCUGCUCGCCACAGCAGGACAGACAUUGUUUAGUCUCUCUCUCUCUCUCUCUCUCUCUCUCACUCUCACACUCACAGUUUUUUUUUAAUGCUCUACAUGAACAGUAGUUAGACAAAGAAUCUGACGAAAAUCUGCACACGUUAUUUCUUCACUAUCGAAUUUCUCAUAUCCUCCUGUCCUCUGAGAAACAUUUGACCGAUCAGGACAGUUAGAGAGGAGAAGCUCUUCAUUUCCUGCCCUGCUGGUGACCUGCAGCCUCAGUGAUGAAGGUGUAAAUCAGCAUGACCUUCUGUGACCUUUUGUGGUUCCUGCUGAUGCCUGGAUGAGCUGUUGCACAUUUUUAUCUGGUUUUAACAGAAUCUCUCUCUCUCUCUCUCUCCCUCCCUCUCUCUCUCUCUCUCACACACACACACACACACACACCUCUUUGUAUUUUUUUCCCGUAAGCGCUUGAAAAGCUGCAAUAAGCCUAAUUAAAAUUACAUUUAAAAAUAACAUUUAAAAGACUAAAUUAGAAUGACAAAAAUAACACUAUAGACUAAUAAAAUGUAUCUAUGUAAAGCUCAUCUAGAUCGAUAGAUCGAUAGAUAGAUAGAUAGAUAGAUAGAUAGAUAGAUAGAUAGUAUUAUAUUUACAUUUUUUAAGCUCAUUUCGAUGCUGUUUUUAAGUAAAUAAAUCUACUCUUUAUUUCCCAGGAGUCUGCUUAGUCUGUAGUUUAAUUAUUUCACCCAAUCACAAGGAAUUCUGCAAUUACAGAUUGUACAUUCUCUUAAAUGGGACAUAAAUUAAUUACAUCAAAUUUCUUGAACAUGCAACUCAGGAUUCUGAUACAGGACCGUAAUUUGAUCAAUAUCCAUAGAUCCAGCAUCUGAAUUAAAUUACGUCUGCAUGCAGUCCAUAUGCGAUGCUGGACUGUGGAUUCUGGUUGGUCAGAAGGUUUUAAAUUUCCAUAACCGAACCCCUGAAUUAAUACGCCUUUCUUUUAUCAUUACUUUUAUCAUUUCUGGACUUGUAUCAUAGAUGCAUCGGACAAUCGAGAUUUAAAUGCGUGCGGUCGUUGAUGAUGUGGUGAAGUUUUGUAACAGACAUAAAUAAAGCAGCUAUGCUUUUCGCUUUCUCAGCAACAUGCUCCUAUUUUCUGUCUGAUUAAUUGAUGACGGAACGACCGUUUAUAGCCGUUAUGAGGUAAACGAUCACAGGAAGUUGUUUCGCAGAGGUGCAGUAACAUUAAAAGUGUAUCCAUAAGCAGAUAAAAAGUAAAUAAAUAAAUAUCAUGUUUAAAUUCAUUUCUGCUGUGGAUGAGGAAUUCAACACUCCACACCGUGCUUUUAUUGGAAGAUAAUCGAUAAUCGAAUCAGAAUCAUAUCAGUAACUCGGCUUCACUCCGUAGUUGAUCGUUUUCCCAUCACUUUGUUUUGAUCGUUACUUCGCAACGUCCAGUUUUUAAGUCCGUCAUAAUGCGAAACCGAAGCGAAGGCCGAGCAGAGACAACAGAGCUGAAAGAGGACGAGGGGGAAGUGUGGGUACGGAGCCUACAACGUCUCCUUGAGGAUCUUCGUCAGCGCACUUCAUCACAAAUUCCUUUUCAUCUCCGCGUCCUCGGCUUCCAUCAGCUUUCUGCGCUACAAACACGCUCUACGUGAUCAGGAUGCACCUGCCGGCGCUGGGAAUUUUUUUUAUCCACAAUCCUGAGUUUGAAUG